RNAcentral lists this ribosomal RNA (301 nucleotides) under uncultured bacterium. RNAcentral describes it as "partial 16S ribosomal RNA". It matches the Rfam family "Bacterial small subunit ribosomal RNA", at positions 509 to 807 of the family's 1533-position model. The record is from RNAcentral.
CAGUCGCCGCGGUAAUGCGUAGGGUGCGAGCGUUAAUCGGAAUUACUGGGCGUAAAGCGUGCGCAGGCGGUUGUGUAAGACAGGUGUGAAAUCCCCGGGCUUAACCUGGGAACUGCGCUUGUGACUGCACAGCUAGAGUAUGGCAGAGGGGGGUGGAAUUCCACGUGUAGCAGUGAAAUGCGUAGAGAUGAGGAGGAACACCGAUGGCGAAGACAGCCCCCUGGGCCAAUACUGACGCUCAUGCACAAAAGCGUGGGGAGCAAACAGGAUUAGAUACCCCCGUAGUCCCUGUCUCUUAUAC